GGAGACGUCUACAAGGUAAGUUACCAACCAAUUCCUAGAGAGUAGGGGAACUGAACAAGAUUGUGAUCACUACACACAAUCACACAAUGAUUUAGGCAGACAUAUCAAGCUUCUGGUUUGGGGGCUGCAUUAGACCCUCUCUUUCCUACUUGUAUAUAAGUCAACCUUUCUGUCUGUAUUACAGGGACGACACCAUCGUAGAGGCGUGGUAGCGGUGAAGAUCGCCAACAUCAGCCGAGAUGAAGAGUCAGUCUGCAGGGAGCUGAAGUUUCUCCAGCAGUUCGGAGGCCACAAGAACAUCGCCUCUUACUAUGGAGCCUACUACAGGGCUCCACUCACGGAGUGCUCAUCGGAGCUCUUGGAAGUAAGAAAUGAUUUACUGUAUCGUGUUCAUUCCUCUUGUGCCAAAACAAUCUCCACUGGAAGUGACAGAAUACAUGACCUGAAAUAAUUUCUAUAUAUUGCAGAUUGUUCUUGAAUACUGUGGUGGAGGCUCUCUGUACAACCUCAUCAGUAAGACCAAUGGCCAAUCCCUGAAGGAGACCUGGAUUGGCUAUGUCUGCAAGGAGGUUUUAAAGGUAAGGCCAGAUUUACCUCUUAAGGACUCUUCUUUAAUUGCAUCAAUUAUAUAUACAAUCUCUUUGUUGGGAAUGUUUAUAAUCUCAUAACCUACAUCUCAAUCUCCCCAGGGGCUGCACCACAUCCACAAGAACGGGGCCGUUCAUAAAGACAUCAAGAGCCCGAACAUCAUGCUCACAGAGACGGCCAAAGUGAAGAUCAGUGAGUAAAACUUACAGUUAUAAGAGUAAUGGAUGGUGGGGAGCUUCUGCGAAUAUGGAGUCAGGGGGUUUCAUAAUUCAGGUUUCUAUCUUAUUGUGGUUAAACAAGUUAUUUUCCAUUAAUGGAUUCUAUCUGUCAUUUCAGUCGACUUUGGACACAGCUGGGACCUGGACCCGCAAACUGGGUUGUGCCACGAAGCGGAAGGGACACCACAUUGGAUGGCACCCGAGGCCAUAAGGCAGAAGGGCCAGCGCCUGGCGUACGACACCAAAUGUGACAUCUGGUCGCUGGGGAUAACCGCCAUCGAAAUGGCUGAAGGAAAACCACCAUACACAGGGCAAUAUCCAGUUGAGGACCUGAUAAUUGAAGCCCAACCACCGAAGCUUCAAUCGAACACCUGGUCACAGCAUUUUGUGUCCUUCUUGGAGUCCUGUCUGAAAAAGGAUCCUUCGGAGAGAGGGAGUGCUGAAGAACUCCUGCAGCACCCAUUCGUCACCCAAAUACCACCUAAGAAGAUCGUCAGGGCUGAGAUAGAAGAACAUCUCCGGACUCUGCAGAACUUGCCGGCCAAGAAAGGACUGAAGGGAGUUGCUCUCUCAAAGCUGCGGCGUGCUUGUGACUUCUGCACACAGACAUCGGCAGAACAAGAAGCAGCUCUGCAAAUGGCCCUGGAAGGCUUCUCCUGUUAUUGAUAUUGUGGCCAAUAACAUCAACAGCCCAGAAUGAGUUUCCUAAAUCACAGCCAAGGAAAAAGAAACAUCCACAGGAUCCAGUGGCAUUUGCAGCUCCACCAGCAACAUCUCCUUUCAAGCUGAUGCAGUUCAGCAAGUGGUAACUUCAAGAUUCCUGCAACAACACCAGCAGGGACUUUAUCUCCUCGAUCAUAUUCUUUUCAGACCACCACAUCUCCACCAGUGGAGUCUUUGCUUCAUUUUACCUCACUCCACCCACACACAUCUCCACCUCAGUUUGAGGUGCCAUAGUUCCAUCCAUCUUCCUUUUUUUGCAGACUACUACAACCCCAACAUCUUGCCUUAAGCAUCUACAUUUCACAGAACCAUAGCUCCAACAUUCAUAUCUACCUCUACAGCUCCAGCAGCAUUCACAUUUUCAAACACCAUAGCUCCACUAUUAGGACCUUAGUUUUCAUUAGUAUCCAAUUACCAAUCUACCCAAGGACUUUUAAUUUAACUUUAGCUCCAUCACGAGCCCUUAUUCCAUAUUUUACCUCUAACCGCAAGCUCUGUCCUUCUGCUAACACACCUCCACCAAUAUCUUCUUUUAUUUACAUAUCAUCAAGAGUUUCUCCUCUUUAAAAUAUCUUUUAAUCCUUGCCCUUCUUACUACACCUCCAUUUAGUCACCACCACACAGCACACACUAAAAUGAUGCCCUCUACGCAGAGGCUUCUCUUCUCCAUUUUUUUCUUUUGCCUCCCCCCCUGCAAUCUCCUAACAACAAUUCCUCAGUGGUUUGACUAUGAAGCUUUUCAUUCAUCCAGGUCAUGGUAUAUCUAGUAUAGGUAAA
Molecule: RNA transcript, 2306 nt
Organism: Xenopus laevis (African clawed frog)
Lineage: Eukaryota; Metazoa; Chordata; Amphibia; Anura; Pipidae
Gene name: serine/threonine-protein kinase 4-like
Exons: 7
Source: RefSeq, a predicted model, not a curated record